RNAcentral lists this ribosomal RNA (206 nucleotides) under uncultured bacterium. RNAcentral's name for it is "partial 16S ribosomal RNA". It matches the Rfam family "Bacterial small subunit ribosomal RNA", at positions 568 to 774 of the family's 1533-position model. The record is from RNAcentral.
CGUGUAGGCGGGUCUUUAAGUCAGGGGUGAAAUGCCAAGGCUCAACCUUGGAACUGCCUUUGAUACUGGAGAUCUUGAGUCCGGGAGAGGUGAGUGGAAUUGCGAGUGUAGAGGUGAAACUCGUAGAUAUUCGCAAGAACACCAGUGGCGAAGGCGGCUCACUGGCCCGGAACUGACGCUGAGACGCGAAAGCGUGGGAGCAAACA